Lolium rigidum is the source of this 272-nucleotide long non-coding RNA. RefSeq lists it as uncharacterized. The record is from RefSeq and is a predicted model, not a curated record. NCBI's taxonomy places the organism in Eukaryota, Viridiplantae, Streptophyta, Magnoliopsida, Poales, Poaceae. The transcript has 3 exons.
UAAACUUGUGCAUGAUGAUUGGAUGACGUAAAGGCAUUUUAUGAGGUGGACUGAACUACUUUGAGAUAUAUUGAUAACACUUCACACACAAAAUGAAAGGAACGGCAGGCAGAUUUAAAUAAAACAAUGUUUGAUGCUGAAUUGACUAAUGAACAGCUAUUGAAAAAACGUGAUGACAGAAUUUGUGAAGCUGAUUGGAAGGACCUUAUUAAAUAUUGGAGAUCUCCUCAAUUUGAAGUUGUGGUGGCUGCAUUUGUUACAUGGCUUAGCUG